GGAUACUUAUACGACUGACGGAAGUAAGUGGAAUGAACCACAUGAAGUAUAAGACUCUUAUAGCCGACCGUCUGGGCAAUUCUU
This 84-nucleotide non-coding RNA is filed under the name Anaerobutyricum hallii. RNAcentral describes it as "Eubacterium hallii ZTP sequence". It matches the Rfam family "ZMP/ZTP riboswitch aptamer (pfl RNA motif)". From Rfam's summary of the family: Previously known as pfl RNA. ZMP is also known as AICAR. Lineage: Bacteria; Bacillati; Bacillota; Clostridia; Lachnospirales; Lachnospiraceae. The record is from RNAcentral.